RNAcentral lists this long non-coding RNA (458 nucleotides) under Thrips palmi. Its description in RNAcentral is "uncharacterized LOC117650863". Lineage: Eukaryota; Metazoa; Arthropoda; Insecta; Thysanoptera; Thripidae. The record is from RNAcentral.
UGAGGCUCACCUUCGCCCUUAUCCCCUGCCUUUUGGUGGUGUUAGCGUUUCCCCAAACCCCACCAAGCGAAUGAUCCGCUCGCAGUGCCGUGGUCAAGCAAGCAGGGUCUCCUCAAGAGCUGCAUCGCUUCCUCCCAGGCCGUCACACACUUCCCCCAGAAUGUAGUCAACGACUACAACAACUGCCACACCGCCCUGCUGCGAAGCUACGCCAACCGCCGCCAGACGCUGCUCCUGACCGGCUACGUGUCGGGCAUGAUCGAGUGCGGCAGGGCCACCGCCUCCUGGCAGCUCGGCUCUUUGGUUGGCGACGUCAUGCUUUGCGUGGCUCUGGCCAUGGCCGCCGGCUAACAAUCCGAUACUUGGCAACCUCAUUCCGUGGCCAUACUUCUCAGGCUUACCCUGUGGCGGUGGGCUUUUCUUCAAAUUGUUAAAUAAAUGAAUAAUUUGUAAAAGUU